This 457-nucleotide long non-coding RNA is filed under the name Astyanax mexicanus (Mexican tetra). RNAcentral's name for it is "lncRNA (ENSAMXG00005020983.1)". The record is from RNAcentral. Lineage: Eukaryota; Metazoa; Chordata; Actinopteri; Characiformes; Acestrorhamphidae.
CCUGAUGUUAGAGGUUUGGAUGAGUGGAUUUGAGAAUGGCUGCAGUGUGUGUUUUUCUACUCAAGUGUCCUCUCGACCGGACGCCGCCCGAGGACACAGAGGAGGAGUGUGACUGUGGUGACGGAAUUCCUGGACCACCCGGACCACCAGGACCAGCUGGUCCACCCGGACCUCCUGGGCUGAAGGGGGAGAUAGGACAGGAUGGACUCCCAGGCCCUGACGGUAAGCCUGGCAUGAAAGGUGAGCAAGGAGUGACGGGGGAGCCAGGUAAAUCAGGGGAGAAGGGGGAAUCUGGUUUACUUGGACCCAAGGGUGAUGCAGGAAUAAGGGGCUACAAGGGUGAUAAAGGACAUGCAGGUUUACCCGGCAGGCCAGGCCUACCAGGACCGAAGGUAAGAUCUGAGCCAGAAUCUUAAAAAACAAUUCUUCUGACUUUUUUUUUCUUUUUUUUUGAAUG